AGAGUUUGAUCCUGGCUCAGGAUGAACGUUGGCGGCAUGCUUAACACAUGCAAGUCGAACGCAGGCCUCGGCCUGAGUGGCGAACGGGUGCGUAACACGUAGGUGACCUGGCCUGGAGUGGGGGAUAACCCUCGGAAACGGGGGCUAAUACCGCAUGGUCUAGCCGAGUUUUGAAAUCGGUUAGUAAAGCUUAAUGUGCUCUAGGGGGGGCCUGCGGCCUAUCAGGUAGUUGGUGGGGUAAAAGCCUACCAAGCCGAUGACGGGUAGCUGACCUGAGAGGGUGGUCAGCCACAGGGGAACUGAGACACGGUCCCCACUCCUACGGGAGGCAGCAGUGAGGAAUAUUGGGCAAUGGGGGCAACCCUGACCCAGCAAUGCCGCGUGCGGGAGGACGCCCUUCGGGGUGUAAACCGCUUUUGUGAGGGAGGAGCAAGGACCGUACCUCACGAAGAAGUCACGGCUAACUACGUGCCAGCAGCCGCGGUAAUACGUAGGUGGCGAACGUUAUCCGGAGUUACUGGGCGUAAAGGGUCCGCAGGCGGGGGCGCAAGUCUGACGUGAAAUCUUCUGGCUUAACUAGAAGAGGUCGUUGGAAACUGCGUCUCUAGCAUCCCGCAGAGGUCGGUGGAAUUCCCGGUGUAGUGGUGGAAUGCGUAGAGAUCGGGAGGAACCUCGAAAGCGAAGGCAGCCGGCUGGGCGCGGAUGGACGCUGAGGGACGAAAGCGUGGGGAGCGUACAGGAUUAGAUACCCCCGUAGUCC
This 760-nucleotide ribosomal RNA is filed under the name uncultured Chloroflexota bacterium. RNAcentral describes it as "bacterial SSU rRNA". It matches the Rfam family "Bacterial small subunit ribosomal RNA", at positions 8 to 796 of the family's 1533-position model. The record is from RNAcentral. Lineage: Bacteria; Bacillati; Chloroflexota.